UACAGAGGUGGCAAGCGUUGUUCGGAAUUACUGGGCGUAAAGGGCGCGUAGGCGGUCCUGUAAGUCUUGUGUGAAAUCCCUCGGCUUAACUGAGGAACUGCACAGGAUACUGCGAGACUUGAGUUCGGGAGAGGGAAGCGGAAUUCCGGGUGUAGCGGUGAAAUGCGUAGAUAUCCGGAGGAACACCGGUGGCGAAGGCGGCUUCCUGGACCGACACUGACGCUGAGGCGCGAAAGCUAGGGGAGCAAACGGG
RNAcentral lists this ribosomal RNA (253 nucleotides) under uncultured bacterium. RNAcentral describes it as "partial 16S ribosomal RNA". It matches the Rfam family "Bacterial small subunit ribosomal RNA", at positions 524 to 776 of the family's 1533-position model. The record is from RNAcentral.